This 491-nucleotide ribosomal RNA is filed under the name uncultured bacterium. RNAcentral describes it as "partial 16S ribosomal RNA". It matches the Rfam family "Bacterial small subunit ribosomal RNA", at positions 29 to 507 of the family's 1533-position model. The record is from RNAcentral.
AGUGAACGCUGGCGGUAGGCCUAACACAUGCAAGUCGAACGGCAGCACAGUAAGAGCUUGCUCUUACGGGUGGCGAGUGGCGGACGGGUGAGGAAUACAUCGGAAUCUACUUUUCGUGGGGGAUAACGUAGGGAAACUUACGCUAAUACCGCAUACGACCUACGGGUGAAAGCAAGGGAUCUUCGGACCUUGCGCGAUUGAAUGAGCCGAUGUCGGAUUAGCUAGUUGGCGGGGUAAAGGCCCACCAAGGCGACGAUCCGUAGCUGGUCUGAGAGGAUGAUCAGCCACACUGGAACUGAGACACGGUCCAGACUCCUACGGGAGGCAGCAGUGGGGAAUAUUGGACAAUGGGCGCAAGCCUGAUCCAGCCAUACCGCGUGGGUGAAGAAGGCCUUCGGGUUGUAAAGCCCUUUUGUUGGGAAAGAAAAGCAGCAGGUUAAUACCCCGCUGUUCUGACGGUACCCAAAGAAUAAGCACCGGCUAACUUCGUG